GUAAGUCUCAGUUCGGAUUGAAGGCUGAAAUUCGCCUUCAUGAAGCCGGAAUUGCUAGUAAUGGCAGGUCAGCAUACUGCCGUGAAUACGUUCCCGGGCCUUGUACACACCGCCCGUCACACCAUGAGAGUUGGGAAUACCCGAAGCCUGUGAGCUAACUAUACGAGGCAGCAGUCGAAGGUAGAAUCAAUGAUUGGGGUGAAGUCGUAACAAGGUAUC
RNAcentral lists this ribosomal RNA (219 nucleotides) under uncultured bacterium. Its description in RNAcentral is "partial 16S ribosomal RNA". It matches the Rfam family "Bacterial small subunit ribosomal RNA", at positions 1281 to 1500 of the family's 1533-position model. The record is from RNAcentral.